RNAcentral lists this ribosomal RNA (253 nucleotides) under uncultured bacterium. RNAcentral describes it as "partial 16S ribosomal RNA". It matches the Rfam family "Bacterial small subunit ribosomal RNA", at positions 524 to 776 of the family's 1533-position model. The record is from RNAcentral.
UACGUAGGUGGCAAGCGUUACUCGGAAUCACUAGGCGUAAAGCGCAGGUAGGAGGUUUAGUAAGUCUGUUGUGAAAGCUCCCGGCUUAACUGGGAGAGGUCAACGGAAACUGCUAGGCUAGAGUGCGGUAGAGGUAGCUGGAAUUCCCGGUGUAGCGGUGAAAUGCGUAGAUAUCGGGAGGAAUACCUAUGGCGAAAGCAGGCUACUGGACCGUCACUGACUCUGAUCUGCGAAAGCUAGGGGAGCAAACAGG